RNAcentral lists this ribosomal RNA (440 nucleotides) under uncultured bacterium. Its description in RNAcentral is "partial 16S ribosomal RNA". It matches the Rfam family "Bacterial small subunit ribosomal RNA", at positions 338 to 795 of the family's 1533-position model. The record is from RNAcentral.
CCUACGGGGGGCAGCAGUAGGGAAUAUUGCUCAAUGGGGGAAACCCUGAAGCAGCAACGCCGCGUGCAGGAUGAAGGUUUUCGGAUUGUAAACUCCUUUUGUUAGAGAAGAUAAUGACGGUAUCUAACGAAUAAGCACCGGCUAACUCCGUGCCAGCAGCCGCGGUAAUACGGAGGGUGCACGCGUUACUCGGAAUCACUGGGCGUAAAGGGCGCGUAGGCGGGAUAGCAAGUCAGAUGUGAAAUCCUAUGGCUUAACCAUAGAACUGCAUUUGAAACUGUUAUUCUAGAGUAUGGGAGAGGUAGGUGGAAUUCUUGGUGUAGGGGUAAAAUCCGUAGAGAUCAAGAGGAAUACUCAUUGCGAAGGCGACCUGCUAGAGCAUAACUGACGCUGAUGCGCGAAAGCGUGGGGAGCAAACAGGAUUAGAUACCCCUGUAGUC